RNAcentral lists this long non-coding RNA (794 nucleotides) under Brachypodium distachyon (stiff brome). RNAcentral describes it as "long non-coding RNA (BDIS_LNC005338)". The record is from RNAcentral. Lineage: Eukaryota; Viridiplantae; Streptophyta; Magnoliopsida; Poales; Poaceae.
CUAAACUCACGUACUUGCAACAUGGUGGAUGCAGUUUGGAAAAGUUGGUAGUGAUGAUAAAACACAAAGGGUGCUCAUAGAUACCAACCAGUCACUAGCUCCUUUUAAUUAAUUUGCUCACAUAGAAUCAAGUGGUAUAGAGCAGAACUCUCCUCUUUCGCAACUCUAGCCCUUGUUAUAUCGAGCAAAUUAAAGUGCAUCUGAACUGCUGCACUAGAAGAAGGAAAAUAAAUUGAGCUAAGCUGCAGUAUAUAGAACCCUAAGGUUCUGUCUCUCCCACCAAAGUUAAUUAAUUUAUGUUUGGAUAUUAACAUAUUCUGCUCUGCAGGAGUUAUUUAAUUUUAUGUUUUCUAUUUUUUUUACAUGCAUUGGUACUUUUGCAAGUUCAUACAUUUGCAUAGAAGUUAAAUGAUGUAUAGCUAUAUUAAUGUUUCUGUGUAUUCCAGUACUACUUUUACAAGGACUGUACACAUCGAUUCCGCUCCCGACCCGAAAUUGCCAAGUUCCUUAAAACUGGAGUUAUCCCUAUACCCAAGAAGCACAAUCUGCCUAAGGUACCCAAAUACUUUAUACUUCCAGACAUAUGGUGAUAAUAAUCAACAUUGUGUUACAUCAAUUCUACAAUUUUCUGUUUCCAAAAUUUUAUUUUUAUAUGCUUUCUCGUUGCUCCCCAGGAACCUACUGAAGCUACAGCGGAUGAUCAUGGUAUAUAGAUGGAUCAAUAUCCAUAUGAAUUAAUAAGUUAUCUGAUCAAUACAGUUAUUUUUAGUUACCAGACUUCUACUCAUAAAAGU